This 510-nucleotide ribosomal RNA is filed under the name uncultured bacterium. RNAcentral describes it as "partial 16S ribosomal RNA". It matches the Rfam family "Bacterial small subunit ribosomal RNA", at positions 28 to 507 of the family's 1533-position model. The record is from RNAcentral.
GACGAACGCUGGCGGCGUGCUUAACACAUGCCAGUCGAACGAAGAGCGAUGGAAGCUUGCUUCUAUCAAUCUUAGUGGCGAACGGGUGAGUAACGCGUAAUCAACCUGCCCUUCAGAGGGGGACAACAGUUGGAAACGACUGCUAAUACCGCAUACGAUCUGACCUCGGCAUCGAGGAUAGAUGAAAGGUGGCCCCUACAUGUAAGCUAUCACUGAAGGAGGGGAUUGCGUCUGAUUAGCUAGUUGGAGGGGUAACGGCCCACCAAGGCGAUGAUCAGUAGCCGGUCUGAGAGGAUGAACGGCCACAUUGGGACUGAGACACGGCCCAGACUCCUACGGGAGGCAGCAGUGGGGAAUCUUCCGCAAUGGACGAAAGUCUGACGGAGCAACGCCGCGUGAGUGAUGACGGCCUUCGGGUUGUAAAGCUCUGUUAAUCGGGACGAAAGGCCUUUUUGCGAAUAGUGAGAAGGAUUGACGGUACCGGAAUAGAAAGCCACGGCUAACUACGUG